This is a long non-coding RNA of Gopherus flavomarginatus (Mexican gopher tortoise), 1011 nucleotides long. RefSeq lists it as uncharacterized. Lineage: Eukaryota; Metazoa; Chordata; Testudines; Testudinidae. The record is from RefSeq and is a predicted model, not a curated record. The transcript has 4 exons.
UGCAAGUCUUGCACUGCAUGGAUUGUAGGAUAUAACAUCAUGCACUGGGUCAGAAGAGAGCAGCCAGAAUGGCAUCGAGACAACUUGGAUUUGAAUGGACUUUGGCAAUAUCAGAAAAUGUUGGUGAGAAUUCUGCUGGGAUUGUAGAUGCCUCCAGUGAUCAUGUACACUGUAUUUGUGGAUGCCUCAACUAAUACAAAAAUGCCAGAGAUUUGAUGGAGGAAAGUGGGUAUAGUUUGCAAUCCAGUCUGUGAUGUUCUCUCAUUUGAAGAGAAGCUAAAGGAACAUAAUGAAUUACAAACAUCGUCUCUCCUCCUUGAAGAAUGAAGCUGCCUCACUCAGUGUUUUUCUGCUUGGCUAAAGACAUAGGGGAGUGUAUAUUCCCAGUGCGUGCUAGUGGCUGAAGGCAGAAGUUACAGUUUGUGCAGAACUAAACUAAUGAAAAUACAACUGUAACCAUUCUUGCAAUGGAUAGCGUGAAAAUCAGUAGGAGUUUACAGUAGCAGUACAAGUCUUAUCAUCGAAUGAAUGAAUGAAAGAAAAAAAUAAUUAUAAUAAUAUUUCAAUUAACAUAGCACAUUUAAACCCCAAUCACCGACUAGGACCCCAUUGUGUUAGGUGCUGUAAAUACAGAACGAAAAACAGCCUCUGUCCCAAAGAGCUUACAGUCUAACUAUGGAUUAAACUCACCUUCUUUUACUGGUCCAAGUGUUGCCAUAGUCUCCUAAUUUUUAUAGCACUGUAACAGUACCUUUGAGUUCAGUUGUUGCCUCACCCUUUUAGAGGUUAAUGUUUGUACUGAUGUCCAGUUGACCUGACAGCCCCAGAAUCUGGCUACACAGAACUAAAACUACAAAGCUCUAUCUUGUGGGGAGCCUUGGGGUGGAUGGCAAGGACACUCACACCGAGGACAAAGUAAAUCCUUAGAUAUCUUUAUUAGAACAAUGGACAAAGACAGAAAAGCUCCAAGCCUCAUCAAAAGAUAAGAGGAAUACAGUACUGAGGCUCUCU